UAGCAAUACAUUAGUGGCAAACGGGUGAGGAAUAUAUAGGAAUCUUCCCAGCAGUAAGGAAUAACUUUGGGAAACCAAAGCUAAUGCCAUAUAUCACCGCUUCGGCGGGAAAGAUUUAUCGCUGUUGGAUGAGCCUGUAUCGGAUUAGCUAGUUGGUAGGGUAAUGGCCUACCAAGGCGAUGAUCCGUAGCUGGUCUGAGAGGAUGAUCAGCCACACUGGGACUGAGACACGGCCCAGACUCCUACGGGAGGCAGCAGUGGGGAAUAUUGGACAAUGGGCGCAAGCCUGAUCCAGCAAUACCGCGUGAGUGAUGAAGGCCUUCGGGUUGUAAAGCUCUUUUAGUAGGGAAGAUAAUGACGGUACCUACAGAAAAAGCACCGGCUAACUUCGUGCCAGCAGCCGCGGUAAUACGAAGGGUGCUAGCGUUGUUCGGAAUCAUUGGGCGUAAAGCGUGCGUAGGCGGUAUAGUAAGUCGGUUGUGAAAGCCCAGGGCUUAACCUUGGAAUUGCAAUCGAAACUGCUAUGCUAGAGUAUGGUGGGGGAUAGUGGAAUUCCUAGUGUAGGGGUGAAAUCCGUAGAUAUUAGGAGGAACACCGGUGGCGAAAGCGACUAUCUACACCAUUACUGACGCUGAGGCACGAAAGUGUGGGGAGCAAACAGGAUUAGAUACCCUGGUAGUCCACACCAUAAACGAUGAGUGCUAGUCAUUGGGAUCUUAGAUUUCGGUGGCGAAGCUAACGCGUUAAGCACUCCGCCUGGGGAGUACGGCCGCAAGGCUAAAACUCAAAGGAAUUGACGGGGACCCGCACAAGCAGUGGAGCAUGUGGUUUAAUUCGAUGCUACGCGAAAAACCUUACCAGCUCUUGUAUCCUCA
This 875-nucleotide ribosomal RNA is filed under the name uncultured bacterium. RNAcentral's name for it is "bacterial SSU rRNA". It matches the Rfam family "Bacterial small subunit ribosomal RNA", at positions 81 to 991 of the family's 1533-position model. The record is from RNAcentral.